RNAcentral lists this ribosomal RNA (596 nucleotides) under uncultured bacterium. Its description in RNAcentral is "bacterial SSU rRNA". It matches the Rfam family "Bacterial small subunit ribosomal RNA", at positions 112 to 704 of the family's 1533-position model. The record is from RNAcentral.
AAUGCCUAGGAGUCUGCCUGGUAGUGGGGGAUAACGUUCGGAAACGGACGCUAAUACCGCAUACGUCCUACGGGAGAAAGUGGGGGAUCUUCGGACCUCACGCUAUCAGAUGAGCCUAGGUCGGAUUAGCUAGUUGGUGGGGUAAUGGCUCACCAAGGCGACGAUCCGUAACUGGUCUGAGAGGAUGAUCAGUCACACUGGAACUGAGACACGGUCCAGACUCCUACGGGAGGCAGCAGUGGGGAAUAUUGGACAAUGGGCGAAAGCCUGAUCCAGCCAUGCCGCGUGUGUGAAGAAGGUCUUCGGAUUGUAAAGCACUUUAAGUUGGGAGGAAGGGCAGUCAGUUAAUACCUGGUUGUUUUGACGUUACCAACAGAAUAAGCACCGGCUAACUUCGUGCCAGCAGCCGCGGUAAUACGAAGGGUGCAAGCGUUAAUCGGAAUUACUGGGCGUAAAGCGCGCGUAGGUGGUUCAGCAAGUUGGAGGUGAAAUCCCCGGGCUCAACCUGGGAACUGCCUCCAAAACUACUGAGCUAGAGUACGGUAGAGGGUAGUGGAAUUUCCUGUGUAGCGGUGAAAUGCGUAGAUAUAGGAAGG